Molecule: transfer RNA, 71 nt
Filed under: Loxodonta africana (African savanna elephant)
Lineage: Eukaryota; Metazoa; Chordata; Mammalia; Proboscidea; Elephantidae
Rfam family: tRNA
About the family: Transfer RNA (tRNA) molecules are approximately 80 nucleotides in length. Their secondary structure includes four short double-helical elements and three loops (D, anti-codon, and T loops). Further hydrogen bonds mediate the characteristic L-shaped molecular structure. tRNAs have two regions of fundamental functional importance: the anti-codon, which is responsible for specific mRNA codon recognition, and the 3' end, to which the tRNAs corresponding amino acid is attached (by aminoacyl-tRNA synthetases). tRNAs cope with the degeneracy of the genetic code in two manners: having more than one tRNA (with a specific anti-codon) for a particular amino acid; and 'wobble' base-pairing, i.e. permitting non-standard base-pairing at the 3rd anti-codon position.
Source: Rfam by way of RNAcentral
GCACUGAUGGUUCAGUGGUAGAAUUCUCACCUUCCAUGUGGGUGAUCCAGGUUCAAUUCCCAGCCAAUGCA